Acanthosepion pharaonis is the source of this 93-nucleotide non-coding RNA. Lineage: Eukaryota; Metazoa; Mollusca; Cephalopoda; Sepiida; Sepiidae. The record is from the annotation of a GenBank genome assembly.
UACGGCCAGUUCACGUUGAAACACCGCUUCCCGUAAGGUCACAGAAGUUAAGCAAUGUUAAGCCUGGUCAGUACCUAGAUGGGUGACCACAAG